This 301-nucleotide ribosomal RNA is filed under the name uncultured bacterium. RNAcentral's name for it is "partial 16S ribosomal RNA". It matches the Rfam family "Bacterial small subunit ribosomal RNA", at positions 509 to 809 of the family's 1533-position model. The record is from RNAcentral.
CAGUCGCCGCGGUAAUACAGAGGGUGCAAGCGUUAAUCGGAAUUACUGGGCGUAAAGCGCGCGUAGGUGGUUUGUUAAGUUGGAUGUGAAAUCCCCGGGCUCAACCUGGGAACUGCAUCCAAAACUGGCAAGCUAGAGUAUGGUAGAGGGUGGUGGAAUUUCCUGUGUAGCGGUGAAAUGCGUAGAUAUAGGAAGGAACACCAGUGGCGAAGGCGACCACCUGGAAUGAUACUGACACUGAGGUGCGAAAGCGUGGGGAGCAAACAGGAUUAGAUACCCGCGUAGUCCCUGUCUCUUAUAU